GGCGGUGGUGUCUCCACCAGCGGGUCGUGGCGGGGGCCAAAACCCUGUCCUCACGUCCACACGUCUGGCCGCCCUUCCCCCGGGCGCUCGCUCGUGGGUUCGACCGUUGCACGUUCCUUGAGCUUCUGUGGCGUUCGGCCUGGAGGAGCUGGGCUGGCCUCUCCUGCACGCAGCCCGAGUCUGUCUGUCAAAUGAAGAUGAUGUGGACUCAGAGCCUGGCGUGGUCACCUACAGCUGUGUGAUCUUGGUUGGACAAGUUACUCACUCUCUCUGUUCAUCAGUGUCCUCGUCCGUGAAAGGGAAGUACAGUGAAUGUAAAGUGCUCAGGACAGCAAAGUGCGACCCAGUAUGUGCUUGUGAGGGGAUGGGCAGGUAGAUCCAGUCCCUGCCUGGCCACUCCUUUGGGGAAGCUUGUGUCUUUUAUGACCAAGACAGUGCUCUGUCCUGGCCUCCUUGAGCCUGGAAAUUAAGGCAACUGCCAGGGAGGGCCCAGAGUGGACUUUGGAGUCUCCUAGCCACAUUUCCUAAUAGGCAUUAUCAUGCUGUAUUAAAGUGGAGGUGGGAACCCCAAGAACAGAGGAGGCUGGAAAUGCUGUGAGUGCAUGGCAGACUCGCCCCUCUCUGCACCCUAGGGCACAAGGUGCAUCCUCUUGGCUCUGGCUUGUCAGCACCCUGGGGCGUUAUUUCUGGACUCCUUGCGUUCUGAGAGCGAGGUUCCUAUGCCUGGGAUUCUGCUGUCUGCUAUGCUCUGUGGGCAGACAGGCCCCUUCUGGCAGGCUGGGCUGGGCUUUUGUGGACAGGGACAGCUCUGGGCAGUGGCUUCCCAAGAGGCCUGUCCAUCUGUUCACCUGAUUGCCCUGACUCGUCUGUUUUCUUGUAAUAAGGCUGGGUGGCUCACUCAGCCUCCUGCAAAGGCCUGUGGGCACAGGAGAGGCCUUUUGGAAACUGUGUUUUCCACCCUUGGGAUAAUUUACAUACCACCCAGUUGGAGAAUAAUGGUGGGGCAGGAAGAGAGAGGUCACAUUCUCCAUCCCUAAAGGGCAUAGUUUUCUGGUUCCUGUCACUGGCAGUGGGACACACAGUCACAGAUGCCCUGCUUCUCCCCGACUCCCAUGCCCCGGCACCAGGGUGGCAGGCCCACCAGGGUCCCAUGUGGAUGCAUGGGGACUAUCAGCUCUUUUCCAGGUUUCCAGAAGCCUUGAAAUAUUGUGCAUUUUCCUCCGAUAAGGCCAGAAAGCCUGACUCAAACAUAAAAUGACAACUCAGCUGUACUGAGUUGACUUGUGUCCCCCCCUCAAAAGAUAUGUCCGUGUUCUAACUCCUAGUGCUUGUAUGAUUUUAUCUGGAAACAGGGUCACUGCAAGUGUGAUCAGGUGAAGAGGAAGUCAUCCUAGAUUAUGGAGGGGCCCCAAUCCAAUGACAGUGUAUCUUCAUAAGAAGAGAGAAUUUGGAUACGUCGACUAGGAGAUAGACACAGGGGAAAACAACAUAAUGAAGACGGAUGCAGAGAUGGAGGUGAUGUGUCUACAGCCAAGGAACCUGAGGGUCACCAGAGCCACCAGCAGCCGGAAGAGAGGGGUGGAUUAGAGUCUCCCUCAGAGCCUCAGAAGGGAUCGACCCUGCGGACCGCUUGAGCUGAGACUUGGAUUUCCAGAACUGAGAGAUGGUAACUGCCUGUUGUUCAGGCUGCCUGGUUUGUGGUGCUGUGUUACAGCAGCCGCAAGAAACCCAUACAUCAGGCCGUUCAGAGCUUCUGCUGGGCAGGCGUUCUCUGCCUCUGAUAGGCAUGCAACGGCAAGGGAGGUCAUCACUGAUUAAUGCUUGCAACACAGUGUGAUCUGUGAAACCUUUUCCUAAGGUGGUGGGGGGCGGUCCCUGGAGAAAGAAUACUAAAGGGGCCCAGGGUGGAGAAAAGGAGGGACCCAUAACAUACGGUCCUGGAAAAGCACUGCCAGACCCCCAAACUUACUGCUCCUGGGGGCCUGGGUAUUGGAGAGAAAAUCCCCCUGGUACUGAAGGGCAUCCAGGAGACAACACUUUCUUGUGGCCUGGGGGGGAGGGUGCGCAGGAAGGAUCCAGGGGCUCUGGAGUCUGACACUUGCUCCUGUCCCUGAUACGUAAACUGGGGUUCCUGCUGCCCAGUCUCUAGAAAGGCAAGGAGUAAAGGGAGAACACUGGGUAGAGGGGGAGGGGCACAAGGAAGCGCUGUCCCCACCCCACCCUCUGGGUGACUGGUGGCACUGGCUGGACCUAUGGUGGUUUUUCCUGUCCUGAAUGACUGUGGCCAGACUCUGGCCCCACUCUACAGAUGCAGAAACUGAGGCCCAGCUCUCACCAUUGCUCUGGAGGCAUGGGAAUCACCACAGAACCAGGGAACCAAGAUUCAGCCUUGUACUGUUGGCCACAGACCGAAUGGCCUGAAAUAGGGCACUAGUGGUCCAAGAAAAGAGGACUCAGUUGGCUGUGCUGGCCCCUGACCAGGGCGCCCAGGAACACACUCCAGUGACUCAGCGGUGACUCAGGACGAGGCAGCAGAUGCGGAAACCGCUAGUCCUCUGCCAGCUAGGGAAGCAGCCCCGGGUGGUGAUAAGCAGCUGGGGCAUCCGAGCCCCUCUAUCCGGGAGGACCCAGAGCCGGGAACCCAGAAGGCCUCCGCACAGCCGUUCUGUGAAGGCAGGAAGGACAGCCUGGCGGUCCCCAGCUGGGCAGCCCUGAGCCACGAGCCCCCGGAGCAACCCGCCCCACCAGGUUUUGCACGCGGUCUCCGAUGCUCUGUGAGCCUCAGCCUCUCACGGUGAGAAGUCUAUGAGAUGACAGGACGCAGUCGCACCGACAGCCAGGAGGCGGGAACCGCCCGAGGGUCCUUCAGUGGCUGAACGACAGGUGGUACGGCCACGCCAGGGGCGUCAGCCAGCCGCGGAAAGGAACGCAGCACCGGCUCACGCUGCCGCGUGGAUGGACGUCGAAAACGUGACACCGAGUGACGGAAGCCAGACACAAAGGGCCACAUCUCAUGUGCUACCGUUUAUUAGACCCACAUACAGUUUGUGAGUGGAGGACAAGGACAAGAAACCUGCUUGGAAGCAUCUGGAACGGAGUGGGAGGGCAAGCCAGGCCAGGAUCUGUGUCCUCCCCAGGAUCUGUGUCCCAAGCCAGGAAGGUGGCUGGGUUGAGGCUCCUGAAAAGCCGUCCCAAGACCUGUGGGCGCCAGGAGAAAGGCCAGGCAGGGCCAGCCUCCCAGAUGCUGGGGCGGAAGCCAGAACAAUGGCAUCCCCUGCGUUUGGACCCCUUCCAAAGAGGUUCACAUUUUCCACGGAGAGAGCACUCACGACAACUGGCAGGGAGAAGAGAAAGCCAGAAGCCGGGUUUCCCAGCUGUGAUAUGUGCCGUGCCGCCAGCCCACCGCCCGCUCCCCACAGACAACUGGCUCGUGGGUCCUGGCCACGGGAAAGCCUCAGGAGCCCUGCUUUCAGGUUGGCCCGGUGGCGUUGGCUGUGUGGCUCGGAGGCUGGGAGAGAUGCCAUCCAGCGUGCUCCCCGAGAGGUCCACAGGGCGAGCCAAACACUGACCCAGCCAGACUGACGACGUGAGCACCCCUCACUUGUCUGGAACCACCUUGUUGGCAGCCUUGCGUGUCCAGAGAGCCCCUGGAACCAGUAAGUCAGCAGGAUGGGCCGUGGCAGCCAGGGAUCCCGCCCCAAGUCCCAGCCUGCAAGCCUCGUCUCGCUCAGAGCCUCCUUACUCCUUGCCUGACACGAGGCACUGACAGGGCUGGUGUCCGGGCCCCAGGGCUCAUAUGAGAGGAGCCUGGAAAGUAAUCACAGACACUCUCCUCCCCGGGCGGGGCCCCUCAGCCCUGCCCGUCUGCCCAGCGAUGUGUCACCUGGCGAGCGUUGUGCAGAGAGAGUGUCGCGGGACCCAGGGCUCAUGCCAGGCUUCUCCCGCCAACUACGAGCCCUUGGGAAAGUCGUGUCACCUAUGGGGGCUUUAUGCCCGCCAAGCCCUGCUUCCCCAUUUUACAGCUGGGAAAACUGAGGCUCCGUGCCACAACCCCGGCACAUCAGAAAGCGGGAAGCUGUGUCCGGUAGCUCUCCUCGUGGCAGGGAAGAGACUGUGCACAAGCACAAGUGUUAGCACGAGCACACCCGACCUGAGCCAGAUGGCCGAUCUUCGCAGCCCACGAGAGAACUGUGGCUCCUUCAUUUCACAGACAAGGAAUCUAAAACCCGGAAGAUGAAGCCACUCGCCCUGAGUCCCGGGCCAGGGAGCUGGAGACAGUGUCGCCCUCGUGGCAGGCACCACGGGGCCACUGUGUGGUGAACAAGUCAUCCUGGCCGAAAUUGAGGUCCAGCCUUUGCCUUCGGCUUCGGGGAGAUCUGCAUCAUGUCCGAUAGAUGUGUCUUUGUUUAGCGCGGGGACCAGUCACAUCAGAAAGUCCAGCCACGUGAUUUAGGAUGGGGGCUUUGGACCACGCCGCAUCAGUCCACCUGGUAACCAUGUCGGCAAUGGACCGACCAAUCAAUCAAGCCUACGUCGUGGAACCCAAAAAAACUCUGGGCACCGGGGCUGGGGUGGGUGCCCCUGCUUGGCAACACUCUGUGCGUUUUGUCACACGUCAGUGCCAGAGGGCCACGCGUCCUGAGUGCAACAGAAACUUUCUCCGUGGGCCACCCCCAUCCCCACCCCGGGCCGCCGUCUCCUGUGACGUAUCUGCUUUCGUGACUUCCGUGAGUUCUCCUAGCCGGUUUUGGAAUCUCUGCGUGGUUUGCGGAACUCUCCCACCUUGCAACUGGUGAGGUGAGGCGUGAGACCCUCUCGGGGCCGAUGCCGACUCCCCUUUCACACUUGGGUCUUGCUAAUCCCCACACGAGACAGAUGACCACCAUCCCCGCGUCAGGAGGAAAAAAGGCCCAGAGGGUUAGGUAUAGACGCAAGGUGUAAACCCCUGUCUCUCAAAAUUUCUGGUUUGAUUCUCUCUGCCGUGCAGCCCCCCAAAUAACAUAUUUUUAAAAGACCAACGGGUGAUGCAUUUGUUGCUGAAUAGUUAACCUCCCCCAAAACUCAGUGGCUUAAGACCACCUAUGCCGUAUCUGUUUGUGGCUCCGGGGCUGAGCAGCGUGGGCCCAGCUGGGUGGUCCUUUGGUGGCUGGCAGGGUUGUACAUGUACCUGCGGUCACACAGCAGACCCACUGGGCCAUCUGGACGGUCUCGGAUGGCUGGUGCUUGGUGCUGAGCCGGGGCGACACUCAGCUGAGUUGGGUCGGCUUCUUCCCCGGUGGGAAGGAGAGCUUUUAAGCCCUGAAGCGUGAACACUUGCCUGCUCGUGUCCCAUUUAAUAAUGGGUCCCAUUGGCCAAAGCCAGUCAUGGCCAAGCACAGAGACAGUGGGCAGGACUGAACGAGGCACGGACACAGGGGAGUGUGGACACGGGCCGGGGCUACGUCAGUCAAGAUUGAGCGGACUUCCAAAAGGGGAAGAGAUUCUUAAAGUCCUGUGCGGUCCCUUCCUCCCUGGCAGGCGCAGAGGAGGAAAUGGAUGUGAGCAGCUGGGAUGAGAGGGUCUGAGAGGGUUCCUCCCCACAGCUCGGGAACCUCACCUCUGUCUCCAGGAGCAGCAGGAAGGGGACUCUGGCUUGGUCUCUGGCUUCAAGCUGGUGACAGAGGCUGGCCGGGCAGCUGUUGGAAGGAUGGACUGUCAAUCACACUGUCCCUGUGCUUGGGGAGAGAAGGCUCCUUUCUCGGACCUUGGACCUUCGGAAGCAGGCCAGCAAGUGUGGGCAGGGAUCACGGCCUCUCGCCGGGGGCUGUGGGAGAGGCAGGCUCUCCCUGCCCCCUCCUGAGCCCUGCCAGCUGCUCCCAGGCUUGGGCUGUCUGGUGACACCGUUCCCCUUCCAAGAGCUGAGACCCUUCAGCCGGGCAGCCUUCCAAGCCUCAGUCUCCCCGUCUGCAAACGGAGGACGAUCUUGCUUCCCUCCCUGGGCGGGUGCCAGGGUUACGCUAGAAAGGGGAUGUUCACAGCUGAAACCCAGCUUCCUUCCCUCACUGUAAGCUGUUUCCCCACGCGAUGUACCCAAGUGCCUUUGGGGGCCUGUCACUCACCCCCCCAGCCACUCCGACUGUGCUUUGCCUGAGU
Molecule: long non-coding RNA, 6132 nt
Organism: Prionailurus viverrinus (fishing cat)
Lineage: Eukaryota; Metazoa; Chordata; Mammalia; Carnivora; Felidae
Exons: 3
Source: RefSeq, a predicted model, not a curated record